RNAcentral lists this ribosomal RNA (981 nucleotides) under human gut metagenome. RNAcentral describes it as "bacterial LSU rRNA". It matches the Rfam family "Bacterial large subunit ribosomal RNA", at positions 1950 to 2925 of the family's 2925-position model. The record is from RNAcentral.
CCUAAGGUAGCGAAAUUCCUUGUCGGGUAAGUUCCGACCUGCACGAAUGGCGUAAUGAUGGCCAGGCUGUCUCCACCCGAGACUCAGUGAAAUUGAACUCGCUGUGAAGAUGCAGUGUACCCGCGGCAAGACGGAAAGACCCCGUGAACCUUUACUAUAGCUUGACACUGAACAUUGAGCCUUGAUGUGUAGGAUAGGUGGGAGGCUUUGAAGCGUGGACGCCAGUCUGCGUGGAGCCAACCUUGAAAUACCACCCUUUAAUGUUUGAUGUUCUAACGUUGGCCCCUGACCGGGGUUGCGGACAGUGUCUGGUGGGUAGUUUGACUGGGGCGGUCUCCUCCCAAAGCGUAACGGAGGAGCACGAAGGUUAGCUAAUCCUGGUCGGACAUCAGGAGGUUAGUGCAAUGGCAUAAGCUAGCUUGACUGCGAGCGUGACGGCGCGAGCAGGUGCGAAAGCAGGUCAUAGUGAUCCGGUGGUUCUGAAUGGAAGGGCCAUCGCUCAACGGAUAAAAGGUACUCCGGGGAUAACAGGCUGAUACCGCCCAAGAGUUCAUAUCGACGGCGGUGUUUGGCACCUCGAUGUCGGCUCAUCACAUCCUGGGGCUGAAGUAGGUCCCAAGGGUAUGGCUGUUCGCCAUUUAAAGUGGUACGCGAGCUGGGUUUAGAACGUCGUGAGACAGUUCGGUCCCUAUCUGCCGUGGGCGCUGGAGAAUUGAGGGGGGCUGCUCCUAGUACGAGAGGACCGGAGUGGACGCAUCACUGGUGUUCGGGUUGUCAUGCCAAUGGCACUGCCCGGUAGCUAAAUGCGGAAGAGAUAAGUGCUGAAAGCAUCUAAGCACGAAACUUGCCCCGAGAUGAGUUCUCCCUGAGACUUUAAGUCUCCUGAAGGAACGUUGAAGACGACGACGUUGAUAGGCCGGGUGUGUAAGCGCAGCGAUGCGUUGAGCUAACCGGUACUAAUGAACCGUGAGGCUUAACCUU